CAAUCCACCAGUGGCGGACGGGUGAGUAAUGUAUCGCUAAUGUGCCCUUGACUCUGGGAUAGCUGCGGGAAACUGCGGGUAAUACCAGAUGACAUAACCGAAUCGCAUGGUUUGGUUCUCAAAGGAGCAAUACGGUCAGGGAGCAGGCGAUAUCGUAUCAGCUAGUUGGUGAGGUAACGGCUCACCAAGGCGACGACGCGUAGCUGGUCUGAGAGGACGGCCAGCCACAUUGGGACUGAGACACUGCCCAGACUCCUACGGGAGGCAGCAGUGGGGAAUCUUGCGCAAUGGGCGGAAGCCUGACGCAGCAACGCCGCGUGGGGGAUGACGGCCUUCGGGUUGUAAACCUCUUUCGCGAUCGACGAAGGCCCGGUUUUUGUCGGGUUGACGGUAGGUCGAGAAGAAGCACCGGCCAACUACGUGCCAGCAGCCGCGGUAAUACGUAGGGUGCGAGCGUUGUCCGGAAUUAUUGGGCGUAAAGAGCUCGUAGGCGGUGUGUCGCGUCGGCCGUGAAAACCUGGGGCUCAACUCUGGGCGUGCGGUCGAUACGGGCAUCACUUGAGUUCGGCAGGGGAGACUGGAAUUCCUGGUGUAGCGGUGAAAUGCGCAGAUAUCAGGAGGAACACCGGUGGCGAAGGCGGGUCUCUGGGCCGAUACUGACGCUGAGGAGCGAAAGCAUGGGUAGCGAACAGGAUUAGAUACCCUGGUAGUCCAUGCCGUAAACGAUGGGUACUAGGUGUGGCGGGAGUUGACCCCUGCCGUGCCGGCGCUAACGCAGUAAGUACCCCGCCUGGGGAGUACGGCCGCAAGGCUAAAACUCAAAUGAAUUGACGGGG
RNAcentral lists this ribosomal RNA (836 nucleotides) under uncultured Actinomycetes bacterium. RNAcentral's name for it is "bacterial SSU rRNA". It matches the Rfam family "Bacterial small subunit ribosomal RNA", at positions 85 to 918 of the family's 1533-position model. Lineage: Bacteria; Bacillati; Actinomycetota; Actinomycetes. The record is from RNAcentral.